RNAcentral lists this ribosomal RNA (116 nucleotides) under Shigella sonnei. The record is from RNAcentral. Lineage: Bacteria; Pseudomonadati; Pseudomonadota; Gammaproteobacteria; Enterobacterales; Enterobacteriaceae.
UCUGGCGGCAGUAGCGCGGUGGUCCCACCUGACCCCAUGCCGAACUCAGAAGUGAAACGCCGUAGCGCCGAUGGUAGUGUAGGGGCUCCCCAUGCGAGAGUAGGGAACUGCCAGAC